CAGCCGCCGCGGUAAUACGGAGGGUGCAAGCGUUAAUCGGAAUUACUGGGCGUAAAGCGCACGCAGGCGGUCUGACAAGUCAGAUGUGAAAUCCCCGGGCUUAACCUGGGAACUGCAUUUGAAACUGUCAGGCUGGAGUCUUGUAGAGGGGGGUGGAAUUCCAGGUGUAGCGGUGAAAUGCGUAGAGAUCUGGAGGAAUACCGGUGGCGAAGGCGGCCCCCUGGACAAAGACUGACGCUCAGGUGCGAAAGCGUGGGGAGCAAACAGGAUUAGAUACUCCUGUAGUCCCUGUCUCUUAUAA
Molecule: ribosomal RNA, 301 nt
Filed under: uncultured bacterium
Lineage: Bacteria
Description: partial 16S ribosomal RNA
Rfam family: Bacterial small subunit ribosomal RNA
Source: RNAcentral